UUUUUCACCCCAAUCUGCAAGAGAAAUCUUUCCAAAAUUUACCCACAAUCAAUUGAAAUCAAUCACCAAAAGUUACUCUCAAUACACGUUCUAUAAUUGUCAUACCGCCUCACUUUCACACGUACUACCAUUCUGCAAUACAAGCCAUUUCUACCAUCCCUCAAGCAAAUUCAUAAGACGGGGUAAAGGAGGAGGAGGAAGUAAAGCAGUUUCCCUUGCACCCAAGUUCAUACCGUCCUCCCUAACAUUGUUGUCUCGUUUCUAUUGAGUCCUACCACAAAGAUCACACACUCAAGCUUCCUGCAAGAACAAAUUCCUUCCUACUUUCUUCAAUCCAUUCAAAUUCACGAAACCGAGAACCGGGGUCAAGAGAUGGACUAUCGCCUGUUUCACUCGAAAUCUGUCUUUGAAGGGGCAGGAAAAAUGCUGAAACAAUGGAGCCUUCCUAACCAGCGAGUUGAUCAAGUGGAGUUCACCACAUAAGAGGAUGAGUUAUAGGAGAGAGAAAAGAAGAUGUCAUCUCAAGGGCAUUAAUGUCAAGACAGGAUUCCAUCUCAACUUGGAAAAAUGCUGAAGCAGUGGAGUGUCACGUAUUCUAUCAUCAUGUUUACUCAGGUAUUACUCAAAUAUAAAACACAUUAUGCAAAUCAUGUAAUUUGUAUAACCUAUGUAGAGCAGGGUCACAUCAAGUAAAUUAUUUGCAGGUACUAAGUAUCAAAAUCUCAUCUUUUCUCACAUUCGUC
This is a long non-coding RNA of Salvia splendens (bonfire salvia), 743 nucleotides long. RefSeq lists it as uncharacterized. Lineage: Eukaryota; Viridiplantae; Streptophyta; Magnoliopsida; Lamiales; Lamiaceae. The record is from RefSeq and is a predicted model, not a curated record. The transcript is spliced from 3 exons.